This 66-nucleotide ribosomal RNA is filed under the name Thalassospira sp. ER-Se-21-Dark. RNAcentral describes it as "partial 23S ribosomal RNA". Lineage: Bacteria; Pseudomonadati; Pseudomonadota; Alphaproteobacteria; Rhodospirillales; Thalassospiraceae. The record is from RNAcentral.
UGGGUGUGGAAGCGUGGCAACACGUGAAGCUAACCAGUACUAAUUGAUCGAUCGGCUUGAUUGAUC